This 254-nucleotide ribosomal RNA is filed under the name uncultured bacterium. Its description in RNAcentral is "partial 16S ribosomal RNA". It matches the Rfam family "Bacterial small subunit ribosomal RNA", at positions 524 to 776 of the family's 1533-position model. The record is from RNAcentral.
UACGAAGGGGGCUAGCGUUGCUCGGAAUGACUGGGCGUAAAGGGCGCGUAGGCGGUUUGGACAGUCAGAUGUGAAAUUCCUGGGCUCAACCUGGGGGGCUGCAUUUGAUACGUUCGGACUAGAGUGGGGAAGAGGGUCGUGGAAUUCCCAGUGUAGAGGUGAAAUUCGUAGAUAUUGGGAAGAACACCGGUGGCGAAGGCGGCGACCUGGUCCUUGACUGACGCUGAGGCGCGAAAGCGUGGGUAGCAAACGGG